AGAGUUUGAUCAUGGCUCAGAACGAACGCUGGCGGCAGGCCUAACACAUGCAAGUCGAACGCCCUAGCAAUAGGGAGUGGCAGACGGGUGAGUAACACGUGGGAACCUUCCCUAUAGUACGGAAUAGCUCAGGGAAACUUGAAGUAAUACCGUAUACGCCCGAGAGGGGAAAGAUUUAUCGCGAUUGGAUGAGCCCAUGUCGGAUUAGCUAGUUGGCGGGGUAAUGGCCCACCAAGGCGACGAUCCGUAGCUGGUCUGAGAGGAUGAUCAGCCACACUGGAACUGAGACACGGUCCAGACUCCUACGGGAGGCAGCAGUAGGGAAUAUUGGACAAUGGGCGCAAGCCUGAUCCAGCCAUGCCGCGUGAGUGAAGAAGGCCCUCGGGUUGUAAAGCUCUUUUGUCCAGAAAGAAAAGCGCCGGGUUAAUACCCUGGUGUCCUGACGGUACCGGAAGAAUAAGCACCGGCUAACUUCAUG
RNAcentral lists this ribosomal RNA (478 nucleotides) under uncultured bacterium. Its description in RNAcentral is "bacterial SSU rRNA". It matches the Rfam family "Bacterial small subunit ribosomal RNA", at positions 8 to 507 of the family's 1533-position model. The record is from RNAcentral.